RNAcentral lists this unclassified non-coding RNA (168 nucleotides) under uncultured fungus. Its description in RNAcentral is "sequence contains ITS1, 5.8S rRNA gene". Lineage: Eukaryota; Fungi. The record is from RNAcentral.
GUGAAUUUUCGUAAAGGGGUUGUGCUGGCUCUCGCAAGUGCACGCCUCGAUACACUCACACCUGUGCACCUGUUUGACGGAAGCUCCUUUCUUUGUUGAAGGGGGUGGAUGUCCUUUACACACACGCAUAGUCAUAUUGAGAUUGGUGAUAUUUGACAAAUGUAAUGA